This is an RNA transcript of Zingiber officinale, 3568 nucleotides long. It is a transcript of the gene named serine/threonine-protein kinase PBL34-like, with no coding region annotated. Lineage: Eukaryota; Viridiplantae; Streptophyta; Magnoliopsida; Zingiberales; Zingiberaceae. The record is from RefSeq and is a predicted model, not a curated record. The transcript is spliced from 12 exons.
AGGACAUGGGUCGGAAGUUUUUGUCGUGAACAGGUAAGGGGAAGCGAUGUUCUUCCGCUUGUCAUUCCUCUGCCAAUGCUCUCCUGCUUCGUCCUCCUUCAGACUCUUCGUCGCCUCUCUCACUCACUCUCUUCUGCCGUUUGCUUCUUCGGUUUCCUUGUUCUCAUUUCUUCCCUCCAAAUCGAGAUGCGGAGUAACGCCGUCUGUUUGGGCGCUUCCUGUUCCGAUCCCCUCUGCACUCCACCCAACUGUUCUGGCUGGGAAAGCGCAUCCUUUCCAUUUUUCAGCUGCGACGUCGGCCGUUUUACCCGUUUUUAGCCGUGUGUUUCUUCUUACACAGAUUCCUUGUACGGUUGCGGAGGCUUCUUCAAAAUAAACGUUCGGCCUUAUGCAUGUCAAAGCAUCGUCUGUUUGCCUCAUUUUGCUAGUUUUUUCGGCGUCUAGAGUUAUACAGUCGGCUUCGCAGAAGCGAAUUCUGAGCGAUGAUGCUCUUUCACAGAAAGUGUUUGAAGUUUUGGUUCGCUGUAUGUAGUCGUGAUACAAUAUUUUGAGCGGAUAUUUGGGUCGUGAGUUCGGAUGGAUUUUGAGGCGUACGGAGAGACUUUGAAGGAUGGAGUUGGCCUCUAAGGAGGUUCAGUUGGAGGCGUGGGCAACUGGUGGGAGGCCAAAGAAGGAUCACGAGAAGGAAAAUAAGAAGGGCGAGGACAUUGGCUGCUGGACUAAGUUUCGGUCCAUGGGGAAUUGCAUUUCGGCGAGAUCCAAAGUUGAUGCAUCUCUCAGCAGCAUCAGCACUCAGGGCGAAAUUAAAUCAACAGUUCAUGGUAGCAGCAAGGAUAAGUCAGCUACAGUAGUAUCUGGUUCAAUGACCGCGAGUAGUUCUUGUAGUAAUUCAUCUACUUCUAAAGUAGGUGAAGAUAUAAAAGUUGCUUCGCAGUUGCGCAAAUUUACCUACAAUGACUUGAAGUCUGCCACAAGAAACUUCAGGCCAGAGAGCCUUCUGGGAAAGGGAGGAUUUGGUUGCGUGUUCAAGGGAUGGAUUGAAGAGAAUGGUAUAGCUCCUGUUAAACCUGGUACAGGACUUACAGUCGCCGUCAAGACACUUAACCAUGAUGGACUUCAAGGGCAUAAAGAGUGGCUGGCUGAAGUUAAUUUUCUUGGUGAUCUUCGGCAUCCAAAUUUGGUAAAGUUGAUUGGGUAUUGUAUCGAGGAUGAUCAGAGAUUGCUAGUAUAUGAGUUUAUGCCACGAGGAAGUUUGGAAAAUCAUCUUUUCAGAAGAUCCCUUCCUUUGCCAUGGUCAAUUAGAAUGAAAAUUGCAUUUGGUGCAGCGAAGGGUCUUGCUUUUCUUCACGAGGAGGCAGAAAGACCAGUAAUAUAUCGUGAUUUCAAAACAUCAAACAUUCUUCUAGAUGUGGAUUAUGAGGCUAAGCUUUCAGAUUUUGGGCUCGCCAAAGAUGGUCCUGAGGGUGACAAGACUCAUGUAUCAACAAGAGUGAUGGGAACGUAUGGGUAUGCAGCUCCAGAAUAUGUCAUGACAGGUCACUUAACAUCCAAAAGUGAUGUCUAUAGUUUCGGCGUCGUGCUACUCGAAAUGAUGACAGGUCGGAGAUCAAUGGACAAAAAUCAACCAAAUGGGGAGCUCAACCUGGUGGAAUGGGCACGCUACUAUCUAGGAGAAAGACGACGCUUCUACAAACUUGUUGAUCCUCGUCUGGAAGGCAACUUCUCAAUCAAAGGUGCACAGAAGGUAGCUCAACUCGCACAUGCCUGCCUCAGUCGAGACCCCAAGAUGCGCCCGCCCAUGAGCGAGGUGGUUGAUUCGCUCAGACCAUUGCUCAACCUCAAAGACAUCGCUAGCUCUUCCUACUUUUUCCGGACUAUGCAUGCGGAACGAUCUGCUUCCUACUCAAACGGUAGACUCAAGCGGUAGACCAGGAGCCUUUAGCGCGGUGUUUAUGCUUCUCGAUAACAUCUGCCAAUGAAACCAAAUGGCAACCAAUCAAAGUGGUGCUACUUUUGCUGAACUGCAAAAUCGACUGUACAAUCUCGAGGAAUAUGCAACUUAACGAGGCCAGAGGAAUAAACCAGGUAGACGCCCACGCCUCGCUCGCCCUUUUGUCCACGUAUCAAAAUAGCCACUCACUUUACCAUUUGCCUUAUGCGAAUGCACACAUAACGCCCAGUUUCCGAUAUCCCAACCUCAUCUCAUCUCAGCCACACAAUUAGAUGAUCGAACGGACACAGUUCCAUCUAGACGAGAAUCAAGCUUGCCAGCCCCAUCUGUAUCGGAAGUGGAUAACGGAAUGAGAUUGGUUACGCAUUCGAAUAUAACGGGAAUAAAUGAAAACCUAUUCCAACACUGUCGGGUUUCUUUAUAGUCAUCGAGGAGCUGCUUUGUUCCGUCGCCUUUGGUUCAACGCUGCGCCGCCUCCGCUGAUAUCCCGAUCGAGUAAGGCGAUGGCUCCGGGUCUAUACUCCGAUAUCGGCAAGAGGACUAGGGAUCUUCUAUAUAAGGAUUACCAGACAGAUCAUAAGUUUACAGUCACGACAUACUCCUCUACUGGCGUUGCAAUUACUGCUUCGGGAACAAAGAAAAGUGAUUUGAUUUUUGGGGAGAUCCAGUCUGUGAUAAAGAACAAUAAUAUUACGUUUGAUGUGAAGGCAAAGUCAGACUCAAAUGUUACAACAACAGUUACCGUUGAUGAAUUCACAGUUCCUGGUUUAAAGACAAUUUUUAGUUUUGUUGUCCCAGAUCAAAGGUCUGGAAAGAUCGAACUUCAAUAUCUGCAUGCUUAUACUGGGGUUAACGCCAGCAUUGGAUUGACUGCCAAUCCCGUUGUCAAUCUGUCCAGUGUAGUUGGUACUAAAACUUUCGCUGUUGGUGCUGAUGUAGCAUAUGAUACAGCAUCAGGUAAUUUCACCAAGUACAAUGCUGGGUUUAGCGUCAUCAAUGCUGACCUUAUUGCUGCAUUGAAUUUGAACAACAAGGGCGAUAGCUUGAGCGCAUCAUACUACCACUUGGUCAGUCCAUUGUCGAACACAGCAGUCGGCGCAGAGUUCACUCACAACUUUCCGACUAAUGAGAACACCCUCACCUUUGGGACACAGCAUGCCUUGGACCCUCUGACCUUGGUGAAGGCGCGCUUCAACAGUUACGGUAAGGCUAGCGCUCUCAUUCAGCAUGAAUGGAGGCCAAAAUCAUUCCUAACCAUCUCCGGGGAGGUGGACACCAAGGCCAUCGAGAAGAGCUCGAAGGUUGGCUUGGCCCUGGUGCUCAAGCCUUGACACGGGGACUCAUCUGCCUGCUCCAAUUUCGAAGUUCCAUGCACCGAAUGGAGUUUUGACAACUCAUGAUGGUGGUUUCAUCGUGACUCGGUCAGAUUUUGCUUGCAAAUUGUUUUUAGCUGCUACUCAUGGUACAUUUUGGCUUUCCACUAAUGCAAUUUGGCAUGUAAUAAUGAAAUUCUUGUGGGGUGAUUAGAAACUGAGAUGGCGACCACCCUUUUGACUUUUUUUUAUCUUUUUAAACUCGUUCUGAGCACAGGUAAUGCCAAACUGUGUUUUCUCUUUA